This 330-nucleotide long non-coding RNA is filed under the name Elaeis guineensis (African oil palm). Its description in RNAcentral is "long non-coding RNA (EGUI_LNC057802)". Lineage: Eukaryota; Viridiplantae; Streptophyta; Magnoliopsida; Arecales; Arecaceae. The record is from RNAcentral.
UUGGCUAGAACUCGGCUGGGAUGUUUGAUGGAGCGGAAUGGCUCUCUAUCCCGUCGAUCUAGGAGAAGUUCGAAUAUUUUUGAGGUUGCUGAAUAGUCUACCGUUGUCGGAUGCCUCGGGCGUUGAUGCUACAAGCGGGAGUCAUCUGCUGUAGAAGCUCGGAUGGAUAUUUUCUGUUGGUGAAGUCUGGUAGGAGUCUGAUUGCUAGAGAAGUCUAUCUAAAAUUUGCCUGAUGUGGAAGCUCGUCUGAAGAUUAUCCAUCAGAGAAGUCCAGUUUCAUGAAGAAUCAGACGGAGGGUCGGCCGGCGGGGGACUUCGGAUGGCGUUGGG